Molecule: ribosomal RNA, 292 nt
Filed under: uncultured bacterium
Lineage: Bacteria
Description: partial 16S ribosomal RNA
Rfam family: Bacterial small subunit ribosomal RNA
Source: RNAcentral
GUGUCAGCAGCCGCGGUAAUACAGAGGGUGCGAACGUUGUUCGGAAUUACUGGGCAUAAAGCGCACGUAGGCGGUCCUGUAAGUGUGGAGUGAAAUCCCACGGCUCACCCGUGGAACAGCUCCGCAUACUGCAGGACUCGAGGACGGUAGGGGAGAGCGGAACUCCUGGUGGAGCGGUGAAAUGCGUAGAUAUCAGGAGGAACACCGGCGGCGAAGGCGGCUCUCUGGUCCGUUUCUGACGCUGAGGUGCGAAAGCCAGGGGAGCAAACGGGAUUAGAUACCCCCGUAGUCC